Molecule: long non-coding RNA, 319 nt
Filed under: Volvox carteri
Lineage: Eukaryota; Viridiplantae; Chlorophyta; Chlorophyceae; Chlamydomonadales; Volvocaceae
Description: long non-coding RNA (VCAR_LNC000974)
Source: RNAcentral
GUCCUCUUAUCGUUAGCCGCACCUAGCAUCCAAUGUCCAUUCGCGCUUACAUGGACAGUUUGCCUACACAGCCACCAUGAGUUUCCUGGGAUGCUCUUCUCCUCCUGUAACCUUUAGAGCAUGACUUAUACACUCCAUAACGUGCUGUCAUUCUGCCGUUUCGUGGUGCGUUGCCGUGCUUGUUUGGAUCCCCAUAACCCUAACCAUCCCCGUAACCAUCCAAACUUGAAGUUGGAGCAUUGUCGCAUUUUGCUCCACAUAAGGCACUGGCAGGGUGGAGGUCAGGCAGCCGCGAACAACUGCCUUUCCUGGCCCAGCA